This 697-nucleotide ribosomal RNA is filed under the name Nocardioides sp. R71-1(2010). RNAcentral describes it as "bacterial SSU rRNA". It matches the Rfam family "Bacterial small subunit ribosomal RNA", at positions 52 to 755 of the family's 1533-position model. The record is from RNAcentral. Lineage: Bacteria; Bacillati; Actinomycetota; Actinomycetes; Propionibacteriales; Nocardioidaceae.
UACCAUGCAGUCGAGCGGAAGGCCCUUUCGGGGGUACUCGAGCGGCGAACGGGUGAGUAACACGUGAGUAAUCUGCCCUUGGCUUUGGGAUAACCACCGGAAACGGUGGCUAAUACCGGAUAUGACCACUCCCGGCAUCGGGUGGUGGUGGAAAGUUUUUUCGGCCAGGGAUGUGCUCGCGGCCUAUCAGCUUGUUGGUGGGGUAAUGGCCUACCAAGGCUUCGACGGGUAGCCGGCCUGAGAGGGUGACCGGCCACACUGGGACUGAGACACGGCCCAGACUCCUACGGGAGGCAGCAGUGGGGAAUAUUGGACAAUGGGCGGAAGCCUGAUCCAGCAACGCCGCGUGAGGGAUGACGGCCUUCGGGUUGUAAACCUCUUUCAGUACCGACGAAGCGCCGAUGAUGGUGGUGACGGUAGGUACAGAAGAAGCACCGGCCAACUACGUGCCAGCAGCCGCGGUAAUACGUAGGGUGCGAGCGUUGUCCGGAAUUAUUGGGCGUAAAGGGCUCGUAGGCGGUUUGUCGCGUCGGGAGUGAAAACACCGGGCUUAACUCGGUGCUUGCUUUCGAUACGGGCAGACUAGAGGCAUGCAGGGGAGAACGGAAUUCCUGGUGUAGCGGUGAAAUGCGCAGAUAUCAGGAGGAACACCGGUGGCGAAGGCGGUUCUCUGGGCAUGUCCUGACGCUGAGGAGCG